RNAcentral lists this long non-coding RNA (4145 nucleotides) under Amborella trichopoda. Its description in RNAcentral is "long non-coding RNA (ATRI_LNC005000)". The record is from RNAcentral. Lineage: Eukaryota; Viridiplantae; Streptophyta; Magnoliopsida; Amborellales; Amborellaceae.
CCGGGUACCUCCACACCUAGCGAGGGUGCUUGGUAGUCGGAGGAUCAAUGGAGGGAAUGAAAGAGGGUGGCUAUCCUCUUCUUCUUCUUCUCGUUUUUUUGAGGGAGGAUGGGGGUUGUUGAUGUGGGAAGCAUUAAAGAAGGCGCUGGAAGGGUUGCAAGCUAUUGAAGAAGGUCUAGUAGCUGUCAAUAAUGGGAAUCCUCAAAAAUAAUAUUGCCACCUGUUAAGUGCUCCCUGGAAGGGGCCAGGUUAAAGGAGUUAGGAUCAGUGGGUACUAUAGUUUGACGAUCAACAGAACCCAACGAUGGAACUAAGUCUAUCUGGGGUGUAGCAUCGUGUGCCCCUGGCUAGGGAAGUGAAAGAUCACUGCAUACGAUGUGAUAAUCUACAGUUGGGAAAGGGUCUCUUCCUGCACCUGUGAUGUAAUGUGGUCUAGCAGGUCGUAGCAGCCUGUUCGUGAGGUGUUGGUCCUUCUGUUGUUGAGAAAUACCUAGAAAGGCAUUUUGUCGAACGUUUUUAAUGCAGUAAAUGGUUCCUCAGGGAAUUAGGGAUUAAACUUACCUCCAUAAUUUCAACUAGAAUUUGAAUUUGUCCCAAAGGAAGGUAAUCCAACGAGCACCACAGAGUAGAUAUGAAGUUUUCGCACCUAUGUCCAAUCUGCUUGAAGGUCUAGGGGUGCCAUGCAUAGAGCGGAAUAUUUGAAGUUGUGAUCCAAAUCUUUUGUUUUCUGAGGAUUCCAAUGUUUGUUGGCCAAGGUAAAAGGCUCAGUCUAGCUCGUUUAAAAUGGGGGUCACAUGAGGCUAAAGUUGUGCUAGCCAAGGUAUCUUAUGGGAAUGAGAAGAGGACGGGCCCCUCAGAGAGUUUCCAACACCCCAGGUCUGGUUCAUUCCAGAGUUCUUUGCACCACUUUUUUAUUCCUCUAAUGUCGUUCCUCCGAGAGUGAAACACCCCUAUGAGUGAAUGCUGGAGGGAUGUCAACCUUUUAGCAAGGAAAUCUCCAUUAAGGACCUGGGGAUGGGUAUGAUUGAGGGAUAGGGGUUCAAAGGAGAGGAAAGAGGGCUUAGGAGUGGAGAGAACUUGUUGGGGCUUGUCUGAUCCAGUUAAUGUAUCGGUGAUAAAGGAUGGGAUAAGGUGGAACUGGCUUGGUUGAGUUUUUCAGAGGUUGUGGCGAGCUAAGGUAUGGGUAGAAUUGCUAAGAAACCCAAGGGAUAGAGUGCAAUUUAGCUCCAUGAUUGCUUGAUGACUAGGUAUGAUUGCUGGUUGCAGGAGGCAAAAAGAGAGGCUUAGAGGGGGAAAGGAAGGCCUUGUUGCUAGUUGCAGAAGGGGAGCAUGGUGAUGGUUCCAAUAUUUCAAGAUCUUGCUUUGACUCUUACGAUUGAAUAUGCCACUACCUGUAAUCCCCUCUUCUGGGAUACAGAUGAUCGCACUUCCUAUUGAACCCCUUGAAGUGAAAAGCAUAAAGAAAGCUAUGGGCUAGGUCAAUGAUAUGCUUCCUCCAGAGAAUCUCAAAGGCCUUCCAGAUGAAUGAUUGAAGCACAAAAUUGAAAAUGCACAAGGGAGACCCUCCUGAUGGGCGAUUUCUCAUUAUCGAGUCAUGAGCAAGAAUUUAGUUGUCACAGAGAGGAAAAUAUCUGUUGUGUAGAUUUCAAUCAAAAAUGGAGCAUGAGCAAAAGCCAACACUAAAUGAUUUUGGAAAGAACAGCACUUGGAUUUUUCCCCAAAACUCAUUUAAGGGCCAUUUGGAUACCUGGAAAUAUAUUGUCUGUGAAAUAUAUUACUGGCGUAAUACAUUACUACGCAAUAUAUUACCUGUAAAUGGAUUGUUACUGUUUGAGUAGUAUUUAGAUGCAACCUGGGAAAUACAUUGUUAUUGUUUGGCUAUGUCUGGAAGAAAUAUAGGAAAUGCAUUACCAAUAUUUUUACCAGUACGUGCCUAUAAACUAUCGUUUCUUUCUUUUUUGCCACAAAAUUCCACUAAAAUGUAGAAUUAUCAUUUCCUUCUUUUUUGUCACAAAAUUCCACUAAAAUACUAAAUUAAAAUCAUCAUCACACCAUUCCAAAAAGAUUUCUAAUAAUAAUAUUAUCACCAUUCCAAAAAGAUUUUCUAAUAAUAAUUUGUACCAUUUUACAGUCAUGACACUAUUUCCUAGUUAUUUUAAGUGCCUUUGGCACUUAUAUGCAAUCACAUGUUUUCUAACAUGACAUUGGUUUCAACAUGAUAAGUCAUUAGAACAAUAUGAUUGGAAUAAGAUGAUUUUAUUAUGCUAAGCCCUAUUUUUAUUUAUUUUUUAUAGAAGUCUUUCAAAUGUCUCUCUAUAUAAUUUCAAAUAAACAAUAAAUUUAUGAUACUAAAUUCAAAAUCUGUAGGGUACGAGUUAAAAAAUGGGAAGAAGUUUGAUCAGUAAUCUAGAAGGUUUGGUAAUUGCAGUAUAAAAUUUUGAGGUAUUGGAGGAAACUAAAGAAGUAUGUUAAUUCAAUUGAGAAUUUAGUAAUCUCUAAUGAGGAUUAUAUUGUGUGAAACUUUUUAUUAUGAUUGUGUUGUGUAAUUUAUCAUUGAUUUUACUUUUUUUUGUUUUUUUUUUUUUUUUUUUUUUUUUUUUUUUUUUGUUUAUAUUGACUACCGNNNNNNNNNNNNNNNNNNNNGGUAGCCAAGGUAUCUUAUGGGAAUGAGAAGAGGACGGGCCCCUCAGAGAGUUUCCAACACCCCAGGUCUGGUUCAUUCCAGAGUUCUUUGCACCACUUUUUUAUUCCUCUAAUGUCGUUCCUCCGAGAGUGAAACACCCCUAUGAGUGAAUGCAGGAGGGAUGUCAACCUUUUAGCAAGGAAAUCUCCAUUAAGGACCUGGGGAUGGGUAUGAUUGAGGGAUAGGGGUUCAAAGGAGAGGAAAGAGGGCUUAAGAGUGGAGAGAACUUGUUGGGGCUUGUCUGAUCCAGUUAAUGUAUCGGUGAUAAAGGAAGGGAUAAGGUGGAACUGGCUUGGUUGAGUUUUUCAGAGGUUGUGGCAAGCUAAGGUAUGGGUAGAAUUGCUAAGAAACCCAAGGGAUAGAGUGCAAUUUAGCUCCAUGAUUGCUUGAUGACUGGGUAUGAUUGCUGGUUGCAGGAGGCAAAAAGAGAGGCUUAGAGGGGGAAAGGAAGGCCUUGUUGCUAGUUGCAGAAGGGGAGCAUGGUGAUGGUUCCAAUAUUUCAAGAUCUUGCUUUGACUCUUAGGAUUGAAUAUGCCACUACCUGUAAUCCCCUCUUCUGGGAUACAGAUGAUCGCACUUCCUAUUGAACCCCUUGAAGUGAAAAGCAUAAAGAAAGCUAUGGGCUAGGUCAAUGAUAUGCUUCCUCCAGAGAAUCUCAAAGGCCUUCCAGAUGAAUGAUUGAAGCACAAAAUUGAAAAUGCAUAAGGGAGACCCUCCUGAUGGGCGAUUUCUCAUUAUCGAGUCAUGAGCAAGAAUUUAGUUGUCACAGAGAGGAAAAUAUCUGUUGUGUAGAUUUCAAUCAAAAAUGGAGCAUGAGCAAAAGCCAACACUAAAUGAUUUUGGAAAGAACAGCACUUGGAUUUUUCCCCAAAACUCAUUUAGGGGCCAUUUGGAUACCUGGAAAUAUAUUGUCUGUGAAAUAUAUUACUGGCGUAAUACAUUACUACGCAAUAUAUUACCUGUAAAUGGAUUGUUACUGUUUGAGUAGUAUUUAGAUGCAACCUGGGAAAUACAUUGUUAUUGUUUGGCUAUGUCUGGAAGAAAUAUAGGAAAUGCAUUACCAAUAUUUUACUAGUACGUGCCUAUAAACUAUCGUUUCUUUCUUUUUUGCCACAAAAUUCCACUAAAAUGCAGAAUUAUCAUUUCCUUCUUUUUUGUCACAAAAUUCCACUAAAAUACUAAAUUAAAAUCAUCACACCAUUCCAAAAAGAUUUCUAAUAAUAAUAUUAUCACCAUUCCAAAAAGAUUUUCUAAUAAUAAUUUGUACCAUUUUACAGUCAUGACACUAUUUCCUAUUUAUUUUAAGUGCCUUUGGCACUUAUAUGCAAUCACAUGUUUUCUAACAUGACAUUGGUUUCAACAUGAUAAGUCAUUAGAACAAUAUGAUUGGAAUAACAUGAUUUUAUUAUGCUAAGCCCUAUUUUUAUUUAUUUUUUAUAGAAGUCUUUCAAAUGUCUCUCUA